UGGGGAAUUUUGCGCAAUGGGCGAGAGCCUGACGCAGCAACGCCGCGUGGGUGAUGAAGGUCUUCGGAUCGUAAAGCUCUGUUAUUGGGGAAGAAAAAAGACGGUACCCAAGAAGAAAGUCCCGGCUAACUACGUGCCAGCAGCCGCGGUAAUACGUAGGGGACAAGCGUUGUCCGGAUUUACUGGGCGUAAAGGGCACGCAAGCGGUUUUUUAAGUCAGAUGUGAAAGGUACCGGCUCAACCGGUGACAUGCAUUUGAAACUGAAAGACUUGAGUAUUGGAGAGGCAAGUGGAAUUCCUAGUGUAGCGGUGAAAUGCGUAGAUAUUAGGAGGAACACCGGUGGCGAAGGCGGCUUGCUGGACAAAUACUGACGCUGAGGUGCGAAAGCGUGGGGAGCAAACA
This 403-nucleotide ribosomal RNA is filed under the name uncultured prokaryote. RNAcentral's name for it is "bacterial SSU rRNA". It matches the Rfam family "Bacterial small subunit ribosomal RNA", at positions 355 to 774 of the family's 1533-position model. The record is from RNAcentral.